Molecule: long non-coding RNA, 310 nt
Filed under: Daucus carota (carrot)
Lineage: Eukaryota; Viridiplantae; Streptophyta; Magnoliopsida; Apiales; Apiaceae
Description: long non-coding RNA (DCAR_LNC000904)
Source: RNAcentral
CCCAUCCUGAUCUGGUGAUCUGAUAAUCAAGUAGGAGUAAUUACUCAGAUCAAGGCCUGAAGUAUCUUCUUCAAAAUCCACUGUCAGUAGUACCAAAUUAGUCUUCAAUGGAAUCUUCUUCGAAUCACAAUCAUCUUUGUCGAACAUGGAAAACUGCUUCUAAUGAUCCUUUGAGUAAUCAAUUGGAUUGGGUCAUCAAUGUACUUCCAUUACCGGUUCUGAGAAUCUGGUAUUUGAAAACCCGGUGUUUGUCUUGUAAUCUGUCAGCCUGAUCUGUCUCAACUAAAUGUCAAUCUGAUUUGUCUUGGAG